Molecule: long non-coding RNA, 777 nt
Organism: Gasterosteus aculeatus aculeatus (three-spined stickleback)
Lineage: Eukaryota; Metazoa; Chordata; Actinopteri; Perciformes; Gasterosteidae
Source: Ensembl
UAUAUAUAUAUAUAUAUGCAAAUCAAAGUUGAGUUGCUCCAAAAAAAAAGGCUGUUAGGCAGAAAAUGUAGCUCGCCAUGAUAGGUUGUUUUAACAGUUAUAGCAUAAAGAGAAAAUAAAUAAAUCAACAGGUUCGGAGUUGCUUCAGUUCACCAAUUAUCCUCAAAAAGAUUAUGCUGAUUUUUACGGUAACAUGGGCACGGACAGCAGAACAGAUGCAGUGGUGGAGGCCAAAGCAUCUCCUGUCACAGCCGGCUUAUCAACAGAUGCCCCUUUGUCGCUCUCUGCCAUGAGAUCACUGUGAAGCUCGAGCUUAGCGAUAUCGGUUUCGGUCCCCCACACGAGUGGAGGUUGUCAGAUGCAUCUGCUGUCCUGGUGUUUGAUUGCAAGUGAUUUUCCUAUCGGACCAAAGCACUCACGCAGCAGAGAAAGACAUGGAGAUCGACUGAGAGAUUCCUUUAAAACAAACAGGCUCACUAGGAGAGCGUCUUCAAAGACUUGGACUGUGUGUCACCAGUAUGAGGCUUGGCAACUGUCGAUAGGGCUGGUGAACAAAAUCAGGUCCCGGUCCUCUCAUAAAUGGGGAGGCUGUGUUGCCUCCUGCACAGUCAACGGGGAGGACGCCGUCUUCAAGCGGAGAACCGGACUCGCCAUGAGGAGAGCGCGCGGAGCGUCCGGCCGGCCGGAGCCGCCGCGCAGGUAGCGAGGGCGCAGCCGGACGACGAGCGCGAUUCGCCGCCGAGCCCAAGGACGUACGAGGCGGCCAGACUCAGCCGA